GUAGCUAGGAGGCAUUGCCAUUAUGCAUACAUUGGUGGCCUGCCUCCAUCAAACUAAACCUGAGCAACGGGUUUUAGCGGCUAAUCUUCUCCUUCAAUUGGAUAUGCUGAUAAAAUCAAAAAUUGGGCCAAGAGCUGCUGUUGUUGUGAGCGCGCGACAGGAAAGGAACGACGCCAUAGUUGAGCUAAGAGAAGAACAGGGCAAAAAAUUGGUGAAUGACGCCAUAGUUAUAAAAUAAAGAAUGCAUUCACCUAACCCUUUAAAACAUUUUUAAAAAGAGGCUGCAUGAUAUGAACAAAGGAAUUUGGACACAUUCAUGAAGGUAUACUGGUCUGAUUAUUAAUUUUAUGUUAAAUUUUCUCCACGUACUUGUACAGUCAAGCAAGAUUGAAGUUCCAAUUGGGCCUCUUCCCUGGGCGCCACUCUCCCGCUGCUCCUCCGACCCAAGUGCCGACAAAAUGGAGCUCGCCAAGGCACACUUCAUGGACGAGGAGGACCACCCACGACGAUGAACAUGUGUGACCUCACCCCCGAGCCUGACGAGCUCGACAACGACAACAUCGUCAACCUUGAUCUCGAUGACAAGGUUGAUCCCUAGCUUAGUGCAGACACCGAAGAGCAAGCCCGCCUUCUCCAGAGUUUGCAAAGGAGCUUUACGUUCAGGGCAUGGUUGUUUGCACAGAGUGGCGGACACUACUUUGAUCCUCUGACAGAUAGUUCUUCAUAAUGUGAUAGUGUAUAGGCCUUCUUUCUGGGGACCUACUGCUCAACUACUACACUCCUUGGCUGCUAUCGACCAAAUUUUUUACAAAUCUGUCUACAUGUUUUGUUUCUAUAUAUUUACAAAUAUCCUAUCAAUCCAUUUUUAAAAUGUAUGGGCGCGGCAACGCACGCCUUUCAUGAUCUA
Molecule: long non-coding RNA, 907 nt
Organism: Hordeum vulgare subsp. vulgare (domesticated barley)
Lineage: Eukaryota; Viridiplantae; Streptophyta; Magnoliopsida; Poales; Poaceae
Exons: 3
Source: RefSeq, a predicted model, not a curated record